This 204-nucleotide long non-coding RNA is filed under the name Capsella rubella. RNAcentral describes it as "long non-coding RNA (CRUB_LNC000040)". Lineage: Eukaryota; Viridiplantae; Streptophyta; Magnoliopsida; Brassicales; Brassicaceae. The record is from RNAcentral.
UUAGCCCCUUUGGGACCCAAUUUAAACAAGUUGUUCUACACACUUCUAAACACUCUUCAUGCAUCUCUAGCACUUGUAAUCAAUCAAAUUUAUUGUAUUCUAACAUAUUCUAACCCCAAAUAACACUAGAUAAGUCAUUUAGUUUUUCAACGCAAUGUUUCCGAGUUCUUAGCCCAUUUGGGACCCAAUUUCAACAAGUCUUUC